CCCGAAGUAUCCUGAAUCUUUCGCAUUGUUAAUCAUACAAAUGCAUAUAAUAAACACAAAUAUCAAUGAUAAUUAUGCCAUUAUAUAAUUCCGAAAAAUUAACGCACUGUAAUCAUAUAAAUCUAUCAGCACUUUAUCAAAUUUAUAUCUUUUAUUUUAUGUUAAAAUGCCAAGCAUAUAAUUCAAAUAAGCAAUCAGACAUAAUUUUAUGAUAAAUAUUUAUGCUAAUAGAUUACAAUGUCCUUAUAUGGAAAAAAUGCACACUAUUAUUAUAAUAUUGUUUAAAUAUUACAAUUCUAAUGAUGAAUUUUCCAUAACGGAUAUUCAGGUUCAUCGGGC
Molecule: ribosomal RNA, 339 nt
Filed under: Drosophila virilis
Lineage: Eukaryota; Metazoa; Arthropoda; Insecta; Diptera; Drosophilidae
Description: 28S ribosomal RNA, D2 domain
Source: RNAcentral